UACGUAGGGGGCAAGCGUUGUCCGGAAUUAUUGGGCGUAAAGAGCGCGUAGGCGGUCUGAUAAGUCGGUUGUGAAAAGUCGGGGGGCUCAACCCUCGGAUGCCGAUCGAUACUGUCAGGCUAGAGUCCGGAAGAGGCGAGUGGAAUUCCUGGUGUAGCGGUGAAAUGCGCAGAUAUCAGGAGGAACACCAAUGGCGAAAGGCAGCUCGCUGGGACGGUACUGACGCUGAGGCGCGAAGGCCAGGGGAGCAAACAGG
This 256-nucleotide ribosomal RNA is filed under the name uncultured bacterium. RNAcentral's name for it is "partial 16S ribosomal RNA". It matches the Rfam family "Bacterial small subunit ribosomal RNA", at positions 524 to 776 of the family's 1533-position model. The record is from RNAcentral.